CCAAGCCACAUCUGCGCCCUACACCACAGUUCAUGUCUCGGAUCUGGCAUUGCUGUGGCUGUGGCGUAGGCAGGCAGCAAUAGCUCCGAUUAGACCCCUAGCCUGGGAACCUCCAUAUGUGGUGGGUGUGGCCCUAAAAAAAAAGACAAAAAAAAAAAAAAAAAAAAAAAAAAAGGAAAAAGAAAUACAGCCCAGUUGUUUCCUCUCUUGUUGGUCAUGAUAGAGGAAAGUCGACCCUUGAACAUCAUGGGUUUGAACUGUGUGGAUUCACUUAUAGAAUGUUUUUAUUUUUUCCAAUAAAUAUUUACUAUAGAAAAUAAAAAUUAAAAAAUACAUACAUACUACAGUACUAUGGUCCAUGGUUGGUUGAAUCUGCAUACGUGAAACUUUGGAUAAGGAGGACUGACUGUGAAGCUGUACACACAGAUGUUCCACUUGCUUGGCACCCCUAGUCUUGGCUGUGUUCAAGGGCCCAUUGUAUUUGUGAUACCUGAAGUCAAAGGUCCUCAACUGCAUGCUCUUAGCAUCCCUUUCCCUACUCCCAGCAGAUUAAGCAUGUUCAUCUUUAGUACAGUUCUAAUCUUGCACAAUAUACACGACUCCAUCACAUUUGUUUCUUCUCUUCUCCCACUAGUCAUUUCCAAAGCAUCUUUCGAAGUCUAAAAAGAACAGCUACUUCCUUUGGAAAUACCUAUUAAAGACAAAGAAAAUACAUUAAGUAUCUUAUCGAGAUCUCACAAUAAGCAAGACACCUAGAUAACAUCCAUCAACAUAGCAUCACUUCUCUUCAGUUUCCACAGUACCAGGAACAAAUUUGCUUGAUGAUUCAGCAGAUCAGUACUGACUGCUGAGAUCACUAACCUAAGGAUCCAUGACUCUCCUCCUGGAUUGUAGUCCUAUUAAUGUGGAAUCUCUAAACUGAGUGUAAUCCUCAUUUUGGACUACCAAUAUACUUACUGCCCCACACCUGUUGCCACUGAUUAUCAAUUUAGUGGAUUAUAACCCACUAAGGAGAAAGAAAUCGUAGUCAGCAAAGGAUGAAGUCAAAGAACAAGCAUUACUUCACUAGCAUGUGUGGUUAAUCUCUGUGUUUGUCAGGGUCUAAAUAGGAAAACAGGAACCCUUGUAAGUAUAUAAACAGAUUUUAAUACAGAAAACUAGAUACAUGGGUGAUGUAAGGACCUAUAGGGUCAUUAACCCAGAAAUAAGCCACAGCAGGAAGAAUUGUCACUCCUGGGCUAGAGGAUGUGGUUUAGCCUAGAGACCAGGGACACAGAGUAGAAGUCAGAAUCAAUGGCUUCUCUAGCAGAAGCUGGAGCCAUGAAAGAAACACUGCUAUUAGCAGAGAUGUUGCCCUGGGCAGAGACAAUGGCUUGUAAAAUAAAUACAUCAAGGACAAACAAAAUGUCUGAACCCUGAACUGUGGAAAUAUGUUGGGAGAGGCUUGGGUGAGAGGGUAGCAGAAAGUAGAUCAGAGAGAUGGUUUUCUAUUUGCAUUCAUAUGCUCUUUGUUCAAGCUAUUGUUGAUUGAAUUACAUAAUUAAAACAACGAGUACAACUGGCAUAAUCACGUUUAAGAAUAAACUCAACUGAUGUUAAUAAGGACAGAGUUAAAUGGGUGAGAACAAAAAGAAGUGAGCAUAUUAGUGAGUAGCCUAUUCCUUGUCAGCGUUCAGCAUGGCUGCUGCCUCAGCCAGUAGACGUUAUAGAGCAAUGGAGAGCACCACAGAAUUAAGAGGGUCAGUUAAAUAAGGGUCCGGUGAAAAAGCUUCUACACUAUUUGAUUUGUUCUUGAAAGUUCCAUGAGGCAGGAACAUGUCUGCUGCAUUGACUCUUUCAUAUAAAGCCAAGAUUUGGCAUAGUCAGUACAUGAAACAUAGCAGGUAUUCAACAAGAAUUUUUGAAAUAAAUGAAUACAAAGACGAACAAGUUUGUAAACAGUCUGUUGGCUAUUGGUCACAUAUCCUGCACAUCUGCUUCACUGAUACUGCCUGGAACAUUUGUGCUAACCUCCUUGCUCUUUGCCUUGCAAAUAAUUUCUACAACACUCUAAUUGUGUUGGAGAUUAUGUUGUUCAAAAAGCUCUAAUCCACAAAUUAAGUGUGCUUGAGAGCAUGAUUAAAUUCCAAAAAGCAAAAUUGCUGAGGAAAAUCCAUUAUUAUUAUUUAAAGAGCUGAGCCACUUUCCAAAAUAUCCAUAACACAAAUUGCUCUUCUAAAGGGCAAAAAUGAAAAUUGCUCCUGGUUUACAGAGAAUGUAAGCUAAAUUUCAAAAAUUCAGCAAAGCUUAAGGGGGCAAAGGUAAUAUAUUCUCUGUAUAACUGAGCAUGUUUAAACUUAUUUCAAAUAUUAAAUGAUUUAAAAUGUAAAAAAAAAUCAUGCAUGGAGAUUUACUAAAUUUAUUUUUAAUAAUAAAAAUUAAUUAAAAACUGUAAUUUAUAAAAUUUUACCGGAGUCUACAUUAUAGGUAAUUUUUUUUAAUGGCCACACCCAUGGCAUAUAGAAGUUUCUGGGCCGGGGAUUGAAUCUGAGGCACAGCUAAGACCUAUGCCACUGCAGUCAUAUUCUUAACCCACUGUGCCACAGAGGAAAUUCCUAUAGGUAAUGAUUUUAAUUAUAUCUAGUGAGAACAAAAAAAAGCAGGCACACCUUAUCAAACACAAAUAGUAGGGCAUAGUUCACCUUUCCACUUAUUCUCUCUGUUUUGUAGUUGUUUAUAUUGUCAUCACUAUUUUUUUAAAUUACAAAGGUAACAUACUUUCAGAAUAAAAAUAGUCUUAGGGAGAAAAGUACAAAAAAGGUUAAGGAUCUUUGUGCAAACACCUGAAUAACCUGUAUUUGAUCCCUGUACAUAAGAACAUGUAUCAUAUAUAGUUAUAAAGAGAAGUAUAUAUAUUAAUUUUACAAAUAUGGGAUCACAGUAUAUCAAUUUGAACUUUGCUUUUAAAUUUUUACUUAAGAUUAUAUUAUAGAUAAUCUUCCAGUUAAGUAUGUAUAGAUAUAUUUAACUUUUUAGAUCUAUUUCAUUUUAAUUAGUAUUGUUUAAUUUAGUGAAACUAUGAAAUCAUAAGUAUCUAAUGUUGAGACAUGAUUUUUAGACAAAAAGUGCUUUUGCUACAUUAUCUUUUAGAAAUUUAAAAUAAUAAUCCUUC
RNAcentral lists this long non-coding RNA (3151 nucleotides) under Sus scrofa (pig). Its description in RNAcentral is "lncRNA (ENSSSCG00030046925.1)". The record is from RNAcentral. Lineage: Eukaryota; Metazoa; Chordata; Mammalia; Artiodactyla; Suidae.